Molecule: long non-coding RNA, 425 nt
Organism: Papaver somniferum (opium poppy)
Lineage: Eukaryota; Viridiplantae; Streptophyta; Magnoliopsida; Ranunculales; Papaveraceae
Exons: 2
Source: RefSeq, a predicted model, not a curated record
UCAAAAUCUUGAUUUGUUGUCUUCAUCAUACUUCAAAUGUCGAAUACCAGAGGAUCAAUGAAUAAUCAAACUCAACAUAACUCAACAAUUCCUCCGCAAUCUUCAAUUCAAGAUCCACAAAUCGAACAACCGAUUUCCGCUGCUUCUGUAUCUGGCUCGGUGCCAUCCCUAACAACUGACUCAUUGUUAAACAAUACAAAAAGUGAUCUACAGCUGAGGAUGCAGGAAUGAAAUUUGUGGAUUUCAACUCUGCCUAUUUGACUUUUGUUCCUACAAAAUUUAUUGAUGAAUGAUGACAUGCUUCAGUGUUGUUUCCUAUUCAAGUGAUUGUAUCUUAACAUAACAUGGGGAGAGUCAAAUUUGGAUCCCCAGAUUAUCUACCAACUAUGCUAAUUAGUACGAACAAACUAGACUCCCUUAUACUU